Non-coding RNA from Nicotiana tabacum (common tobacco), 445 nucleotides. The record is from RefSeq and is a predicted model, not a curated record. Lineage: Eukaryota; Viridiplantae; Streptophyta; Magnoliopsida; Solanales; Solanaceae.
UUUCCCUCUCCUCGUCAAGAAUAUUUCCUAAGAUUUAUUCUCUACGACCUUCUUCUUCUUCAGCUAACAGAGUAAUUCAGCUCAAUCACCAAGGCAGAGCUCCAGGUGAAUUCAACAGAAAAAGAUGGUUCUUCAAUCAUAGAUUGAAAGAGGAGAUGGUGAUUGUGGUGCAAUCUGAAGAAGGUAGAGGUUGUAGUUGUGGUGAUUGUCAGAUCUGAAGACGGAGGAAGUGGUGGUAGUGAUAAUGGCCAGACUUGAAGAGAAGGGGUUGUAGCCGGAGAAGAAAAGGUUUGGGCCAUCCAGAGGCGGAUAUUCGUAGAAAGAGCAUUAUUACGGAUUGAUUUGAGCUCGGUUCGAGGUACUAGCUAUCAGCCUCGAGUCUAGUUGUGUGGUUGCUGCUUCAUGAGACUUCAAGGUACAUCUUCCCGCAUCCGUAGACCUCAAA